GAAAAUUAACAUCGAGUUGGCAUCUCUUCACAGCGAUAAAUCCAAUUUUAACAGGAAGUUUAAUCUUCCACAGACUUCGAAAGAAGAAAAUUGUUGUUUGUUGUUUAGUUUUACAUUAUAACACGAAGAUAUACGAACGAUUUCUUCAAUCUUCAUCUUAGUAUCACGAAAGGUCUCAAAAUAUUUAGAAUUGAGUUUAUAAUUAUUCACAGCGUUGUAUCUCUUCUCUUCUUCGUGAUAAAGUCGAUUAAACUAAUCGCGAGAUGAUU
RNAcentral lists this unclassified non-coding RNA (269 nucleotides) under Bombus terrestris (buff-tailed bumblebee). RNAcentral's name for it is "misc RNA ENSBTSG00005038183.1". The record is from RNAcentral. Lineage: Eukaryota; Metazoa; Arthropoda; Insecta; Hymenoptera; Apidae.